GCUCCAUUCUUGCCACCAGUGAUCAAAAAGCUGUAGAAGUGAAAGGGGUGCACUCCCAUCCACUAAUGGCUUCUAGCAAUAAAGAUUAUUCAAAAUGAGAAAUUCUAUUAUACUCUAUUCUAGUAGUAAGAGUUUCCCUAGGAUUCACUUUAUCAGCAAAUAAUAGAGCUGGGGGCAAUUGGCCAAAACCCAUCUGCCUGA
RNAcentral lists this long non-coding RNA (201 nucleotides) under Sorghum bicolor (sorghum). Its description in RNAcentral is "long non-coding RNA (SBIC_LNC012978)". The record is from RNAcentral. Lineage: Eukaryota; Viridiplantae; Streptophyta; Magnoliopsida; Poales; Poaceae.